UAAAGACAUGGUCACAGCUGCCUGAAGCAUGUCUUCUUCGCUCAUAGCAUCUCCUGCUGGGAAAGAAAACAAGUGUUAUCUCUUAGACAUUUCGGGAAAAUUCUCAAAGUCAUCAAAAGAAGGGAGAACGACGUCAGAAAAAUCCACGUUUGAAAACAUUUAAACACGAUGGUUAUGAUGCAACCGUGGUGGCAAGCUUCCAGACCCUAGGA
Prionailurus viverrinus (fishing cat) is the source of this 212-nucleotide long non-coding RNA. RefSeq lists it as uncharacterized. Lineage: Eukaryota; Metazoa; Chordata; Mammalia; Carnivora; Felidae. The record is from RefSeq and is a predicted model, not a curated record. The transcript is spliced from 3 exons.